Molecule: microRNA, 21 nt
Filed under: Drosophila mojavensis
Lineage: Eukaryota; Metazoa; Arthropoda; Insecta; Diptera; Drosophilidae
Description: Dmo-Mir-969_5p* (star (passenger))
Source: RNAcentral
GAGUUCCACUAAUCAAGUUUU